Molecule: ribosomal RNA, 501 nt
Filed under: uncultured bacterium
Lineage: Bacteria
Description: partial 16S ribosomal RNA
Rfam family: Bacterial small subunit ribosomal RNA
Source: RNAcentral
AUUGAACGCUGGCGGCAUGCCUUACACAUGCAAGUCGAACGGCAGCACGGGUGCUUGCACCUGGUGGCGAGUGGCGAACGGGUGAGUAAUACAUCGGAACGUACCUUAUCGUGGGGGAUAACGCAGCGAAAGCUGUGCUAAUACCGCAUACGCCCUGAGGGGGAAAGCGGGAGAUCGCAAGACCUCGCGCGAUUAGAGCGGCCGAUACCUGCUUAGCUUGUUGGUGGGGUAAAAGCCCACCAAGGCGACGAUCAGGAGCUGGUCUGAGAGGACGAUCAACCACACUGGGACUGAGAUACGGCCCAGACUCCUACGGGAGGCAGCAGUGGGGAAUUUUGGACAAUGGGGGCAACCCUGAUCCAGCAAUGCCGCGUGAGUGAAGAAGGCCUUCGGGUUGUAAAGCUCUUUUGUCAGGGAAGAAACACCGGCUCUAACACAGUCUGGGAAUGACGGUACCUGAAGAAUAAGCACCGGCUAACUACGUGCCAGCCGCCGCCGUAA